UACGGAGGGGGCGAGCGUUAUUCGGAAUUAUUGGGCGUAAAGGGCGCGUAGGCGGCUUGACAAGUCAAAGGUGAAAUCCCUCGGCUCAACUGAGGAACUGCCUUUGAAACUGUCUGGCUUGAGGCCGGGAGGGGGUAGCGGAAUUCCCAGUGUAGCGGUGAAAUGCGUAGAUAUUGGGAGGAACACCAGUGGCGAAGGCGGCUACCUGGACCGGUUCUGACGCUGAUGCGCGAAAGCGUGGGGAGCAAACGGG
RNAcentral lists this ribosomal RNA (253 nucleotides) under uncultured bacterium. RNAcentral's name for it is "partial 16S ribosomal RNA". It matches the Rfam family "Bacterial small subunit ribosomal RNA", at positions 524 to 776 of the family's 1533-position model. The record is from RNAcentral.